This 445-nucleotide ribosomal RNA is filed under the name uncultured bacterium. RNAcentral's name for it is "SSU rRNA". It matches the Rfam family "Bacterial small subunit ribosomal RNA", at positions 26 to 518 of the family's 1533-position model. The record is from RNAcentral.
AGAGCGAACGCUGGCGGCAGGCCUAAUACAUGCAAGUCGAACGGAUCCUUCGGGAUUAGUGGCGGACGGGUGAGUAACACGUGGGAACGUGCCCUUUGGUUCGGAACAACUCAGGGAAACUUGAGCUAAUACCGAAUGUGCCCUUCGGGGAAAGAUUUAUCGCCAUUGGAGCGGCCCGCGUCUGAUUAGCUAGUUGGUGAGGUAAAGGCUCACCAAGGCGACGAUCAGUAGCUGGUCUGAGAGGAUGAUCAGCCACACUGGGACUGAGACACGGCCCAGACUCCUACGGGAGGCAGCAGUAGGGAAUCUUGCGCAAUGGGCGAAAGCCUGACGCAGCCAUGCCGCGUGAAUGAUGAAGGUCUUAGGAUUGUAAAAUUCUUUCAGCGGGGACGAUAAUGACGGUACCCGCAGAAGAAGCCCCGGCUAACUUCGUGCCAGCAGCCGC